GUGGCCUAGUGGUUAGGACAUCUGCCUCAGAUGCGAGAGGUCAUGGGUUUGAUCCCCCAUUGAUUCA
Molecule: non-coding RNA, 67 nt
Organism: Potamilus streckersoni
Lineage: Eukaryota; Metazoa; Mollusca; Bivalvia; Unionida; Unionidae
Source: the annotation of a GenBank genome assembly